GAUGAACGCUGGCGGCGUGCCUAAUACAUGCAAGUCGAGCGAACAGACGAGGAUCUUGCUCCUCUGACUUUAGCGGCGGACGGGUGAGUAACACGUGUAUAACCUACCUAUAAUACUGGGAUAACUUCGGGAAACCGGAUCUAAUACCGGAUAACAUGUUGAACCUCAUGGUUCAACAGUUAAAUACUGUCUUUCUGUCACUUAUAGAUGUAUCCGCGCCGCAUUAGCUAGUUGUUAAGGUAACGGAUUACCAAGGCAACGAUGCGUAGCCGACCUGAGAGGGGGAACGGCAAAAAGGGAAGUGAGAAAGGGAAAAGAAGACGACGGGAGGAAGCAGUAGGGAAUGGGCGGCAAUGGGCGAAAGCAUGACGGAGCAAGGCCGCGUGAGUGAAGAAGGACUUCGGAUCGUAAAACUCUGUUAUGAGGGAAGAAAAAAUGUGUAAGUAAAUAUGCACGGAGUGACGGGAACUAAUCAGAAAGCAACGGCUAACUACGUG
This 497-nucleotide ribosomal RNA is filed under the name uncultured bacterium. RNAcentral describes it as "partial 16S ribosomal RNA". It matches the Rfam family "Bacterial small subunit ribosomal RNA", at positions 28 to 507 of the family's 1533-position model. The record is from RNAcentral.